Molecule: long non-coding RNA, 318 nt
Filed under: Jatropha curcas
Lineage: Eukaryota; Viridiplantae; Streptophyta; Magnoliopsida; Malpighiales; Euphorbiaceae
Description: long non-coding RNA (JCUR_LNC003317)
Source: RNAcentral
GAUCAAGUUUGAAGAAGGUGUCAUUGGGACUCCCCAGCUCACGGACUCCAUAGUAAUACCGGAAAAUGUGGAAUUUCUGGGACAAAAGAUUGACCUCACACCCCUUAAGGGCAUAUUAACCUCUGUCCAAGACACAGCAUCAUCAGUUGCAAAGACCAUUUCAAGCCAGCCGCCAUUGAAGUUUCCAAUCUCAAACACUAACGCCGAAUCAUGGCUGUUGACCACAUACCUCGACGAAGACCUUCGAAUCUCAAGGGGUGAUGGUGGCAGCGUGUUUGUUCUCAUCAAAGAAGGCAGCCCCCUCUUGAAACCUUGAAC